Long non-coding RNA from Zea mays, 1028 nucleotides. RefSeq lists it as uncharacterized. NCBI's taxonomy places the organism in Eukaryota, Viridiplantae, Streptophyta, Magnoliopsida, Poales, Poaceae. The record is from RefSeq and is a predicted model, not a curated record. The transcript has 3 exons.
AUAGAACGAGCAAGUUGGAAUCCAUUUGCAUGAUUGACCAUAUAGAACGAGCAAAACUGACAUAUAGAUUGUCUUUUUAUCCUCUACAUACUCUUAAAUGCUAGAACUCCCUACCGGGUGCCUAUAUAUACAUGAACGAGCUCUUGCUUGAAUCUUGCGACGGUAGCUCAUCAGCAGAACAUGGACGACGAUCGACGAAAGCUGCUUGAUCUCUCGCCUCUCGCUCUCGUCCAACGCGCUCACACUGCACUACUGUUGGUUGAUCGUCUCGCCCGUUGUGUCGGAGAGGUCUUCUCCACGUUCAGUCCAUCUCUCUGCAGGAAGCCAAGCAAAGCAGAUACCUCUACGCGGCUCUCUUCCUCUAUUGCAUUUGCAGUAGCAAUACGUACUGUUUGCUAGAAUUUUCGGAAUAGGCUGGCUCCGGCAUCUCCUUGCCAAGAUCUUUGGGGCAGGUGACGAGUUGCACGGUGGUGAAUCCCAGACGACGGCCACAUCUGAUGAGACAUACACAAUGCCGUCGUCUUUGUCAUCAUUCUACCUGACAGUUGAGAAGACGAUGACCACAUAUGAUGAGAUCUACACAGUGCCAUCGUCUUAGUCAUCAUUGUACCUGACACCCGAGGAGACGCCGAACAAUGGUGCCAUUUCGAUAAGCAACUACGACACUGAUGAACCACCUUCGCCGCCACAUGUAUCGUUGGUAUCUGAUGAGAUAAACAUUUCUGAAUCAUCACCUCCGCCAUCUCCGUCGCCACAUACAGCGGAUGAGAUGGACAACUCUGAGGCGUCACCUUCACCUUUGUCUCACACCAUAGAACUCCAAAUGUUUGAGGUACCAACCACCUCUGGCAAUAAUGAGGAGGACGAGGAGGAUGACGAUUCUUUUAGAGAAUGAGAGAGUGAUUAAAUGUUUUCAUCAGUUAACAACACCUCAAUUGUAGAAAGGCAUCAGCGAUAUGCUAUAAUAUAGGUGGAGACAUGUUUGUCGUAUGGAUUUGUUUGAAAUGGUAAGACAUGUUUGAUGCGUA